Molecule: ribosomal RNA, 435 nt
Filed under: uncultured Anaerovorax sp.
Lineage: Bacteria; Bacillati; Bacillota; Clostridia; Peptostreptococcales; Anaerovoracaceae
Description: bacterial SSU rRNA
Rfam family: Bacterial small subunit ribosomal RNA
Source: RNAcentral
ACGGGAGGCAGCAGUGGGGGAUAUUGCACAAUGGGCGCAAGCCUGAUGCAGCAACGCCGCGUGAGCGAAGAAGGCCUUCGGGUUGUAAAGCUCUGUCCUAAGGGACGAAGAAGUGACGGUACCUUAGGAGGAAGCCCCGGCUAACUACGUGCCAGCAGCCGCGGUAAUACGUAGGGGGCGAGCGUUAUCCGGAAUUAUUGGGCGUAAAGAGUACGUAGGUGGCUGUAUAAGCGCAAGGUGAAAGCCCGGGGCUCAACUCCGGCGAGCCUUGUGAACUGUACGGCUUGAGUGCAGGAGGGGAAAGUGGAAUUCCUAGUGUAGCGGUGAAAUGCGUAGAUAUUAGGAGGAACACCAGUGGCGAAGGCGACUUUCUGGACUGUAACUGACACUGAGGUACGAAAGCGUGGGGAGCAAACAGGAUUAGAUACCCUGGUA